Molecule: ribosomal RNA, 430 nt
Filed under: uncultured Brachybacterium sp.
Lineage: Bacteria; Bacillati; Actinomycetota; Actinomycetes; Micrococcales; Dermabacteraceae
Description: bacterial SSU rRNA
Rfam family: Bacterial small subunit ribosomal RNA
Source: RNAcentral
GUGGGGAAUAUUGCACAAUGGGCGAAAGCCUGAUGCAGCGACGCCGCGUGGGGGAUGACGGCCUUCGGGUUGUAAACCUCUUUCAGCAGGGAAGAAGCGAGAGUGACGGUACCUGCAGAAGAAGCGCCGGCUAACUACGUGCCAGCAGCCGCGGUAAUACGUAGGGCGCAAGCGUUGUCCGGAAUUAUUGGGCGUAAAGAGCUUGUAGGUGGCUUGUCGCGUCUGCCGUGAAAACCCGAGGCUCAACCUCGGGCGUGCGGUGGGUACGGGCAGGCUAGAGUGUGGUAGGGGAGACUGGAACUCCUGGUGUAGCGGUGAUAUGCGCAGAUAUCAGGAAGAACACCGAUGGCGAAGGCAGGUCUCUGGGCCAUUACUGACACUGAGAAGCGAAAGCAUGGGGAGCGAACAGGAUUAGAAACCCUGGUAGUCC